CGGCCGUCUACACAAGCAAUACGCCAGCAAGUAAAAAAACAAACAUCAACAUUUGCAAAAAUUGGCCAUCACCAACGGAGACGCCAUUUUGGCUAUCGGCCGGCUGAUUUGUAAAGCUUAGGAGAGCCAGCCAGCAAAAAUUGCAAAAAAAAAAGAUACAUAAUUAGUUUUUAACAUUUUGUGCAACAACUAUGACAUUCUAACAACCAAGCCCAAACCAAAUGUGCGUACAUAUAUCGUGGCAAAUUAGUGCGACAGUGUAAAUUAAUGCGUAUAUUAACGAAAACGCACAGUGUUUUUAGGGCGGAUGCACAAAAUGUUUAUAGAUUUUUGCAAUUGUGUCCGUUGAGCAGAAAUAUGUAAACUAAACGCAGCGCGCCGCAAACAGCAGCAGUGCAUGCAAAAACAACAACAAUAGUAACAACAAAAACAACAAUAACAACAACAGAAAACCCCGUUUCUUAUUGGGAUAACAACAACAACAACAACAGCAGCA
Molecule: non-coding RNA, 496 nt
Organism: Drosophila virilis
Lineage: Eukaryota; Metazoa; Arthropoda; Insecta; Diptera; Drosophilidae
Source: RefSeq, a predicted model, not a curated record